GACGAACGCUGGCGGCGUGCUUAACACAUGCAAGUCGAGCGGUAAGGCCCUUCGGGUACGACGAGCGGCGAACGGGUGAGUAACACGUGGGUGACCUGCCCUCCAGCUCUGGGAGUAAGCCUGGGAAACCGGGUACCGUAAUACCGGAUAUGACUCCAUGACGCAUGUUGUGGGGUGGAAAGCCUUGUGCGGCUGAGGAUGGGCCCGCGGCCUAUCAGCUUGUUGGUGGGGU
This 232-nucleotide ribosomal RNA is filed under the name uncultured bacterium. Its description in RNAcentral is "partial 16S ribosomal RNA". It matches the Rfam family "Bacterial small subunit ribosomal RNA", at positions 28 to 258 of the family's 1533-position model. The record is from RNAcentral.